This 526-nucleotide long non-coding RNA is filed under the name Homo sapiens (human). RNAcentral's name for it is "non-protein coding lnc-C1orf198-4:1". The record is from RNAcentral. Lineage: Eukaryota; Metazoa; Chordata; Mammalia; Primates; Hominidae.
UUUACAACUAUCUAAUCCAGGGGUUAUAUCAGGCAUUUUGGAUCUUCCCAGGGAAACAACAAAAACUUUUCUAUUGAAUUCCAUUGUUUUAUCUAUGUUGUAAGGAUAUUUCACAAACCAUGCGUCCCAAGCACCAUCAGUCUUCACUUUGAGAGUUUUCUGAGAGUGUUCUCUUAGUUACAAGGAACAGCCCUAGGGUGGUGGUUGCCUGUCAACUAGUAAGAAAGAUGGGGACUGAAAAUGGUGGGAUGGCAUUUGCCAAGCAAAUUAAUUCAGAGCCAGUUCAUAUGCUUAGAGAUUGAUUCAUUCAAACGUAGUUUCUUUGUUCCCAACGCCUUAAAAUCUUGAUUCUACUAUGUCCCCUCUUUGGCAGAAUGAGGUAGAGAGCUGUGCAGUGAUUAGACAGGAACCCCGAAACCAAAGACUCUUAAAAGCUGAAGAGAAAUCAGACUUUGAAGAACUGUGGCGUCCAAGCAUGCUGAAGCUAUUGAAUCCUUCAAAGAAGCUUUGAAGCAGAAAGUUGACU